UCAGCCUGCAGAAACCGAAUACUUUCCAUUGGAAAAUAUAUUUUCACAAUAAGUGACUAUUUUUGUACCUGAGGAACGUCUGCCUCUAACGACUCCACAAGACUAGUUCACUGGAGAUUACCAGGAAACGAGUCC
Molecule: long non-coding RNA, 135 nt
Organism: Nothoprocta perdicaria
Lineage: Eukaryota; Metazoa; Chordata; Aves; Tinamiformes; Tinamidae
Exons: 2
Source: RefSeq, a predicted model, not a curated record